This 504-nucleotide ribosomal RNA is filed under the name uncultured bacterium. Its description in RNAcentral is "bacterial SSU rRNA". It matches the Rfam family "Bacterial small subunit ribosomal RNA", at positions 28 to 525 of the family's 1533-position model. The record is from RNAcentral.
GACGAACGCUGGCGGCGUGCUUAACACAUGCAAGUCGAGCGGUAAGGCCCUUUCGGGGGUACACGAGCGGCGAACGGGUGAGUAACACGUGGGUGACCUGCCCUCAGCUCUGGGAUAAGCCCGGGAAACUGGGUCUAAUACCGGAUAUGACUCCAUGACGCAUGUUGUGGGGUGGAAAGCCUUGUGCGGCUGAGGAUGGGGCCCGCGGCCUAUCAGCUUGUUGGUGGGGUGAUGGCCACCAAGGCGACGACGGGUAGCCGGCCUGAGAGGGCGACCGGCCACACUGGAACUGAGACACGGUCCAGACUCCUACGGGAGGCAGCAGUGGGGAAUUUUUCGCAAUGGGGCAACCCUGACGAAGCAACGCCGCGUGGGGGAUGAAGGUCUUCGGAUUGUAAACCCCUGUCGACUGGGACGAAUGUAGAGCGGCCUAAUACGCCGAGCUAUUGACUGUACCGGUGGAGGAAGCCACGGCUAACUCUGUGCCAGCCGCCGGCGGUAACG